This 65-nucleotide transfer RNA is filed under the name Marmota monax (woodchuck). RNAcentral describes it as "tRNA.Ala". The record is from RNAcentral. Lineage: Eukaryota; Metazoa; Chordata; Mammalia; Rodentia; Sciuridae.
GAUAUAGCUCAGCGGUAAAGUACUUGCAUAGCAUGCUUGAGGGCCUGGGUUCAAUCCUCAGUACA